CAUAGUUGAAUGAAGGCUCAGGCGGAGAGGAUCACUUUUCAAAGAUUGUAAAAGAAGUUACGUGGAUAGUGUGUGUUAUGCAGCAAGGAAAGGAAUGGAAAAUCAGAAGACGUGUUUAGAUCACACAAACCAGAGGUGAAAGCUGAAUCUGAGAGGCUUCUGUUUCCAGCAAUAAGGCCAAUAAUACCCCAAGCUCCUGACUGAAACCAAACACUCUGGAGGGACACUCUCACAUGCAGGCCAGAAGGAAUUUGAAUAGAAGGAAACAGGCUAAAGAAGAGAGCUCAUGGCAAAAAUUACAAACCAUACAAGGAAGGCAUUCACCACAGUGAGAUAGAGACGAGGUUUCACCGUAUUAGCCAGGAUGGUCUCGAUCUCCUGACCUCGUGAUCCGCCCGCCUCGGCCUCCCAAAGUGCUGGGAUUACAGGCGUGAGCCACCGCGCCCGGCCUAGAAUCUGCUUUUUAACAACAUAAUUCAAGUUUGAGAAGCUCUGCUAAAAAAAAAAAAAAGCAACAAAAAAGAUGCCCUUCCUUACCUGUUCAGGUACGUGGUUUCUUCAAAUGUUCCUGUGUCUUCCCUAAAUACAAACCUACUUUCUCUGCUGGAUCCUCUCAACCACAUCUAAACAUUUAAAUCUCUCCCAUUCUAAAUCAACAUUCAAGCCAUUUUUAAAAACUGCCCUAUAACCUCUUAUCUCCAGGUAGUGAAUGAUUUAUGCUCUUUUCCUCUACAAAGCCAAACAUCUUCAAAGACUUUCUUAUAUUCUAUUUCUAUUUUGCUUCCUUUAUUUCUCAACACACUUUUAAAAGAGAUCAUUAGCUGUUGUCCCCUAUCAAGUCUUCCUCUUUUUCAUGGUAAUAAUACCCUAGCAUUUAGCCAGGCACCUGACUGUAAAGACGCUAAAGACUGUAAAGGCACUUGAGUAAAUAUCAUUUUCUAGCUUCCCUUCCAGUUCUGUGUGCCCAUGUUUCUAGGUUCUGAUUGUUGGGAUGCUAAUGGAAAUGAUAUGUGUAUCUUCUGAGAAAUUAUCUUAAAUGGAGAGAGUAUAACCUUCUUGUUUCUUACCUCUUUUCUUCUGGUGCAAUGUGGAUGAAAUGCUCAAAUGCCACCAGCCAACAUGGACCAUAAAUUAAAUUUGGAAUGGAAGCCACACAUGACAUGGGAACAAGAUGGAAAACUUUAGGUUAUCAUUGGGAUUUCCUGGCUUUUCCAAUCAACCUAUGGCCUCUAACAAGCUCACAAAACAGCAGGCUGAAGCUAUGUUCAUCUAAAAGCAAAACAUUUGGUCAAUUAAACCAAUUUAAUAAAAAAACUGAAUUUAUUGGAA
Homo sapiens (human) is the source of this 1329-nucleotide long non-coding RNA. RefSeq lists it as uncharacterized. The record is from RefSeq and is a predicted model, not a curated record. The transcript has 5 exons. NCBI's taxonomy places the organism in Eukaryota, Metazoa, Chordata, Mammalia, Primates, Hominidae.